GGGAAGGUGUCUCAGUGGUAGAGCACUUGCCUUGCAUGCCAGAGUCUCUGGGUUCGAUUCCUCAGCAUCCCA
Dipodomys ordii (Ord's kangaroo rat) is the source of this 72-nucleotide non-coding RNA. The record is from Rfam. Lineage: Eukaryota; Metazoa; Chordata; Mammalia; Rodentia; Heteromyidae.